RNAcentral lists this ribosomal RNA (460 nucleotides) under uncultured bacterium. Its description in RNAcentral is "partial 16S ribosomal RNA". It matches the Rfam family "Bacterial small subunit ribosomal RNA", at positions 338 to 795 of the family's 1533-position model. The record is from RNAcentral.
CCUACGGGAGGCAGCAGUGAGGAAUAUUGGUCAAUGGACGCAAGUCUGAACCAGCCAUGCCGCGUGCAGGAAGACGGCUCUAUGAGUUGUAAACUGCUUUUGUACGAGGGUAAAUCCCGAUACGUGUAUCGGUUUGAAAGUAUCUUACGAAUAAGGAUCGGCUAACACCGUUCCAUCAGCCGCGGUCAUACGGAGGGUUCAAGCGUUAUCAGGAUUUAUUGGGGUAAAAGGGGGAGUUGGCGGUUCCUUAAGUUAGAUGUGCAAGCCCGUGGCUCAACUCCGGCACUGCCUGGGAUACUGGCGGGCUAGAGGUUAGUGGAGGUAGGCGGAAUGUAUGGUGUAGCGGUGAAAUGCAUAGAUAUCAUAAAGAACACCGAUUGCGAAGGCAGCUUACCAAACUAAGACUGACGUUGAGGCACGAAAGCGUGGGGAGCAAACAGGAUUAGAUACCCCGGUAGUC